RNAcentral lists this ribosomal RNA (440 nucleotides) under uncultured bacterium. RNAcentral's name for it is "bacterial SSU rRNA". It matches the Rfam family "Bacterial small subunit ribosomal RNA", at positions 338 to 795 of the family's 1533-position model. The record is from RNAcentral.
CCUACGGGGGGCAGCAGUGGGGAAUAUUGCACACUGGGCGCAAGACUGAUGCAGCGACGCCGCGUGAGCGACGAAGGCCUUCGGGUCGUAAAGCCCUGUCCUAAGGGAAGAAUAAUGACGGUACCUUAGGAGGAAGCCCCGGCUAACUACGUGCCAGCAGCCGCGGUAAUCCGUAGGGGGCGAGCGUUCUCCGGAAUCACUGGGCGUAAAGGGUGCUUAGGCGGCCCUGCAAGCCAGGAGUUAAAUCCCUCGGUUCAACCGAGGUCAGCUCUUGAAACUGUCGGGCUUGGGUGCAGGAGAGGCGAGCGCAAUUCCUGGUGUAGCGGUGAAACGCGUAGAUAUAAGGAGGAACACCAGUGGCGAAGGCGGCUCUCUGGACUGCAACUGACGCUGAGGCACGAAAGCGUGGGGAGCGAACAGGAUUAGAUACCCCAGUAGUC